RNAcentral lists this ribosomal RNA (234 nucleotides) under uncultured bacterium. RNAcentral's name for it is "partial 16S ribosomal RNA". It matches the Rfam family "Bacterial small subunit ribosomal RNA", at positions 118 to 351 of the family's 1533-position model. The record is from RNAcentral.
UGAGUAACCUGCCCUUAACUCUGGGAUAAGCCUGGGAAACUGGGUCUAAUACCGGAUAUGACUCCUCAUCGCAUGGUGGGGGGUGGAAAGCUUUUUGUGGUUUUGGAUGAGCUCGCGGCCUAUCAGCUAGUUGGUGUGGGUAAUGGCCCACCAAGGCGACGACGGGUAGCCGGCCUGAGAGGGUGACCGGCCACACUGGGACUGAGACACGGCCCAGACUCCUACGGGAGGCAG